Non-coding RNA from Alexandromys fortis (reed vole), 468 nucleotides. NCBI's taxonomy places the organism in Eukaryota, Metazoa, Chordata, Mammalia, Rodentia, Cricetidae. The record is from the annotation of a RefSeq genome assembly.
AUGGCUGUCCUGGUUCUGUUCCUCUGCCUGGUGACAUUUCCAAGCUGUGCCCUGUCCCAGGUACAACUGAAGGAGUCAGGACCUGGCCUGGUGCAGUCCUCACAGACACUGUCACUCACCUGCACUGUCUCUGGGUUCUCAUUAACCAGCACUGGUGUACACUGGGUCCGCCAACCUCCAGGAAAGGGUCUGGAGAGGAUGGGAGUAAUAGCAUAUAAUGGAAAUACAUAUUAUAAUUCAGCUCUUCAGUCCCGAAUCAGCAUCACUAGGGACACCUCCAAGAGCCAAGUUUUCUUAAAACUGAACAGUCUGCAAAUUGAGGACACAGCCAUGUAUUACUGUACCAUAGACACAGUGAGAGAACUCCAGUGUGAUCCUGUACAAAAACCUCCACAUGAAGACGCUCAGGACCAGCAGGGGGCAAUGUGGUCCUACAUGGUCUUCCAAGAGCCUUAUGUGGUUGCUUAA